CAAUCCAGAAAGACCCGACAAAGAGGGGAAAUUUGAGAAUCAAGUUCGACAUCAAGUUUCCAACAAGGCUAACUGCAGAGCAGAAGGCAGGAAUCAAAAGACUCUUGGGUCCUUGAGAUCAUCAAUGCCAGCAUUUAAUACACUACACCUCCACAGAAAUGGAGAAGUUUUGUGAAUACAAAUUAGAAAGAACGUAGUAGUUGUAUUGGUUCUUCUGAAUCCACAACUUGUUAUAUAUGUAAUCACUUUUUAGAGUUUUUGUAGCAAGUAUGCCAUCUUUCUAAGACAUUGAUGUGCUAAAUUUUGAGUGUAAUAAACUUCUCUAUUACAGUUGCAAUAAAAACUGGCUCCAGUCGAUUGAUGGUGAAUCCUUGUUUUCUUUUUAGUUCUGAACACUGAAUGCAACCAAACUUUAUGCAAAGAUGGUGAAUGCAAGUGGAUUACUACAAGAACAAGACAUGGUUAGUGGAUAGGAAUCCUAGAGGUGAAGGCUUGAGGUACAACAAAAAGCUCCUACGAUUAUUUGAGCAUGACAUUGUCAGGUAUUCUUAGUUAUAGAUAGCAAAAUUUGUCUCGAUUAGUUGUCUCUCAAGUUCAAGCAGAGCUCUGAGGUUUGGAGCUAGAGGUUGGUGCUCAUAACUGCCUCACAUAUCAACACACUGACAGAGAUAUAAGACUAGCAUGUGUAAUAUUAGCAUCAAUCACCAUUAAAAAAUGCAGGUCCUCAUAUAAUCACUUGUACUAAACAAUGUAUUUGUUUUGUGUUUAAAAAAUAUUUUUGAAUUUUUUUUAUUUUGUGUUUAAAAAAUAUUCGCUGAUAUCAAAAAUAAAUUUUAAAAAAUAAAAAAAAUAUUAUCUUGAUACAUUUCCAAGUAAAAAUCACUUCAAAAAGUAACCGUUACCACCAUCUCAACCGCUAUCAAAAUUUCAUGCACACCAAACCCCCGCACCGAAAUUAUCAUUAACAUUUAACAAAUUCAAAGAGAUAUUACAAUUGAGAAUUUAAACAGAUUCAGAAAAUGAUGUGAUCCAGAAUUUAAAUAGUUUCAGAAAAUGAUGUGAUCCAUUGCAAGUAUCAGAAGGUUGUCCUGGACGAAGGGAUGCCGAUCACAAGUGAUCCAAAAAGAGAGGAAAUUUGAGAAUCAAGUUUGACAUCAGGUUUCCAACAAGGGUUACUGCAGAGCAGAAGGAAGGAAUCAAGAGGCUCUUUGGUCCUUGAGAUCUUCAUCUCCUUUGAGAAGGACUGGUGCCCUCUUGCUACAAUCUGUGAUACUCAUCUCUAUGGUAUUAGUGUUUGAUAAGUUCAUGGUUUUGCCAACUUCUUAAUUGUGGUUUCAAUGCAAUUUGAUUUCCCUUGUUUGCUCUUGAAUCCUUCGUUUCUUGAUAGCAAAAGGAUUUAGCUUGGAGGGAAAACCAAUUUCUCUCCUCCGGAAAUCAUAGUUACUAAACUCUGCCUAGAGUCUAAUCUGGUUCAGGAUUUAGGUUAUUGGAUUAUUAAAUCACUUUGAAUUUAUCAUUUAUUUUAAAUAAAUCCUUUUAUUUUAAAAAAUAAUUAUUAAUUUUAACUUGAUUUAAGUUUUAUCAGGUCAAUUAAAUUAUAGAUCAACACGCAAAUUCAUUAGAGAUACAGCCAGAUCAAUGUCAAAACAAUUUGAAAUAAAACUCGAUUUGGGUUAGACUCAGUAUCAACUCGCGGGACUAGGUGGGAUUUAAUAUCUGUGCGUGAAACAUUAAUCACUUUCAGGAUUUCCAAAUUUCCAUUCCAAACCUCAUGAGUGAAAUAAACUAUAAAGCACAGUUACUGAUUCCUCUAAAGAUCUUUCAACUGGUUACUUCUCCUGUCACUGAAAUCACAAGAUGAAGAUUAUGUCCCCAUUUUGCUUUCAUAUCUGCCCUGAUUCCACCCUACUUCAUGACCCUUAGAGCUACAAAAGCUGUUGUUUGAUGUAACCAUGGAAGCACGGGAACUGUUUCUGCAUUGAAAAAAUCAUUAGCAACACAUAGAGAAGACAGUCUUCUCAGCAAAAACCGCUACACUUUGGUUAGUAUUUCAAAACAAAAACAAAUAAUAAAUGAAAAAUGAAAAAACAUUUUUAAUUAAAAAACAGAAACAUAAAAUAAAUUUGUUUUGAGUUAAUCUUAAAAUGAAUUUUUUUGUUUUUAAAACAUGAAAUACACGAAAAUAUGUUUUUUAUUCUUAUUAUCUAUAUCUCUUUUAUUUUAAUUUCAAGAUAGUAACUAAACACUGUUUUAAAUACUUUAAUUAUUUUUUUCAUCUAAAAUCUAUCUGUUCAAAUUAGUGGAAUUUAUGGAGUUAACCUUACAAUUUGUGGUCUUAAUGAUCAUGACAUCUCCUCUUGAGUUCAUUUCUAUUUUAUUACAAAAAUUCACAAUUAAUAUCACAAAUGUUUCAUCGGCUUGAAAAAUAAGGAUGCAAUUGUGCACUUUUAAAAAAUUAAAUAACCAAACUGUAUUGAUGAUUAUAUGUAUUUCUUUGAAGGAGGGGCAAAUUUGUGGUAUGCUGGACUCAUUCGAAAACUUAUAAAUUUAGGGUUCAAGAUGUAGUUUUGGUGUUUCUAUGUUACUAGUACGUCCGUGCUGCUUAAAAAAGAGAAAUGAGGUUAAUUGUAUAUUUCAUCCUUUAUUAUUUAAGAUUUGUUGAUAUGGUGCCUUAACGUUUUUUUUUUCAUCCAUUUUUAUGCUCCAAAUGCACUACAGAUAUGGUCCCUCUGUCGAUUUUUGGUACAAGGAUGAAAUUGGGAAGAUUAGAGAUGAAAGGGACUAAAGAAUAUAUAGUAAGAAAUAUAACAUUAACCCAACCCCUAAACUACAAGGCACAAACAAGCCCCAAAGAUUACUCCUUCAUCAUCACAUCACUAUGUACAUAUAUAAAGAGAACAAAAGCAAGCAGCUAAGCACCCCAAACUAGAAAAAACAAAGAUAAGCAAAGUGAAGAAGAGAAAGAGAGGAGGAGGAGGAGGAGGUAACAGCAACACCAUGGGAGUGGAUUACUACAAGGUAUUGCAAGUUGAUAAGACUGCAAAAGAUGAUGAUUUGAAGAAAGCUUAUAGGAAAUUAGCCAUGAAGUGGCAUCCUGAUAAGAACCCUAAUAACAAAAAAGAAGCUGAGGCUAAGUUCAAGCAAAUCUCUGAAGCCUAUGAUGUAUGUACUUAAAAUUUGACUCCAAUUGCUUCAAUAUUAUAUUUUGUGAUCUGGGUUUGUUGUGAAAUUGGAAAAUCUUGCUGAAAUAUGUGGGAUUUGAUUGUUUUAUUUCUUGUGUAGAUUUGUGUAUGUAUUGCAUUGUAGAUUUUGUGAUCUGGGUUUUUGUUAAAUUUGAUAAUCUUACUGAAAUUUGUGAUAUAUAUAUAUAUUGGCGUUUUUGUGAUAUUUUCCUGUGUUGGAUUCUAGUAGUUUUAGGAUUCUCUAUGUGUUUUUUUGUCACAACUUCAAAGUUUCAAUCUUUCAUGGCUUGAAUAAUCAUUGAACCUUGUGGGUUCUUUGUGUUGGAUCUGUAGACCAUCCAGUUAGAAGCACUGCUGAAGAUUCUCAAUUCACCGAAAUUUGUAGACUGAUGGUUUUUUUUGUUCAUCCUUAGAUAAAAAAGAAGUUGCUAUCUUUUUUGAAUUUCUUGCGUAAAGUUCUAGAAUUUUUAGUUUUGUUGUGUUUAUUAGUGUUAUCAUGAGGAAUUAACUGUUUCUUGUUAGUCAGAUGUCCAAAGUUUCAGUCUUUAAUGGGCACAAGGAAUUCUUUGUAAUGCAGUUCUAGACUGCUCAAAAUUAAAAUCAAUAGUAAAGAUUUAUUCUUUGAUUGAUUUUGUACCGAUUCAAUGUUUUUUUUAUGCAGGUUCUUAGCGAUCCACAGAAAAGAGCAGUGUAUGACCAAUAUGGUGAAGAGGGUUUAAAGGGUCAAGUACCACCACCUGGUGCUGGUGGUGCUGGUCCUGGAGCUUCAUUCUUUUCUACUGGAGAUGGACCCACAUCGUUUCGGUUCAAUCCUCGAAAUGCUGAUGAUAUUUUUGCUGAAUUUUUUGGGUUUUCUCAUCCGUUUGGAGGGAUGGGAGGAGGUGGUGGUGGUGGUGUUGGAGGCAUGAGAGGAGCAAGGUUUCCUGGUGGGAUGUUUGGUGAAGAUAUCUUCAAGUCCUAUGGUGAAGGUGGAGGAUCAAUGCAUCAAGGUGUUCCUAGAAAGGCUGCUCCAGUUGAGAAUAAGCUGCGAUGUAGUCUUGAAGAGCUUUAUAAGGGAGCUAGCAAGAGAAUGAAGAUAUCCAGGGAGAUUGUUGAUCCAAGUGGGUCAGUAUUACUAAGAAUUGCUUUUUAUGUUUAUUACCUUUCUCUUGGUUUGCAUCUGACUUAUGGCUCAUUUUAGUUUUAAUAUCUCUAGGAGUUUCUGCCAUUUUUAUCAAAUUGAGCAUCAACUUCUACCCAUUUGAUUUUCAACAAGUAAUGGCAUAAUGGGAUUUACCGGGUAGAUCAAAAAAUCAAAUGCAUGUUAUUUAUAAGAUAUGACAUGCUGCUUUCUGCUUUAGAAAUUUGCUUUUUUCUGUUGUCAGAGAUCUAUUGGACUAAUUGGCAGAUCAUUUUACAAUUUAGUAAAAAGCUUACUGAGAGUUUGUUUUUGAGGCUUGACAUGCUUUUCAAACUACUUUUUGCAUGAAAAAGCACUUAAAAAAUUCAAUUUAAUGUUUUUUUAUGGUUUUGAUAUGCCAACGUCAAAAAUGAAAAACAAAAAAAAUGAAAAAAAAAAACAUUUUGAUACAUUUUCAAUUAAAAAGCACUAUGCACUGCAUUACCAAACACACACUAAAAGCUUUUUCAAUGAUGUUUUUGUGCAGAACUCUAGUUGCUAGAUCAUUUCGCUGAACUUGUGCUUCUCUUCUUUUGUAGCAAGCCUGAGCAAGUGGAGGAGAUCCUAACCAUUGACAUAAAGCCAGGUUGGAAGAAAGGCACAAAGAUCACCUUCCCUGAGAAAGGGAAUGAAAUGCCAAAUGUUAUACCGGCAGAUGUAGUCUUCAUUAUUGAUGAAAAACCCCACCCCAUAUUCAGUCGUGAUGGAAACGACUUGAUCCUCACACAGAAGAUUUCCUUAGCUGAAGCCUUGACAGGUUACACUGUCAAUCUCACAACCUUAGACGGAAGGAACUUGACCAUUCCUAUCAACACCGUGAUUCAUCCAAACUAUGAGGAGGUUGUUCCGAAGGAAGGGAUGCCAAUCCCAAAAGAUCCCACAAAGAGAGGAAAUUUGAGAAUCAAGUUUAGCGUCAAGUUUCCAACAAGGCUAACUGCAGAGCAGAAGGCAGGAAUCAAAACUCUCAUGGGACCUUGAGAUCAAUAUUAGCAUGUGAUGCACCUCCACAGAAAUGGGGCACUUUUUGUGAAUAUGCAUUUUAGGAAAUUACCAAACAGAAUGCGAUGCACUUUUUGUGAAUGUUAUUUAUGGUAUCUGCCUUUGAUAGUUUCAGUUUUGGAAAAUUCUACAAUGCCUUUCCCUUUAGGGG
Molecule: long non-coding RNA, 5491 nt
Filed under: Populus trichocarpa (black cottonwood)
Lineage: Eukaryota; Viridiplantae; Streptophyta; Magnoliopsida; Malpighiales; Salicaceae
Description: long non-coding RNA (PTRI_LNC003743)
Source: RNAcentral